GACGAACGCUGGCGGCGUGCCUAAUACAUGCAAGUCGAACGCUGAGGGGAGGAGCUUGCUCUUCUUGGAUGAGUUGCGAACGGGGGAGUAACGCGUAGGUAACCUGCCUGGUAGCGGGGGAUCACUAUUGGAAACGAUAGCUAAUACCGCAUAAAAUGGAUUAUCACAUGAUACUCCAUUGAAAGGUGCAAAUGCAUCACUACCAGAUGGACCUACGUUGUAUUAGCUAGUUGGUGGGGUAACGGCUCACCAAGGCGACGAUACAUCGCCGACCUGUGAGGGUGAUCGGCCACACUGGGACUGAGACACGGCCCAGACUCCUACGGGAGGCAGCAGUAGGGAAUCUUCGGCAAUGGACGGAAGUCUGACCGAGCAACGCCGCGUGAGUGAAGAAGGUUGUCGGAUCGGAAAGCUCGGUUGUAAGAGAAGAACGAGGGUGAGAGUGGAAAGUUCACACUGUGACGGUAGCUUACCAGAAAGGGACGGCUAACUACGUG
Molecule: ribosomal RNA, 497 nt
Filed under: uncultured bacterium
Lineage: Bacteria
Description: partial 16S ribosomal RNA
Rfam family: Bacterial small subunit ribosomal RNA
Source: RNAcentral